CUGGUAUCAGCUUUUGAGUACCACCAAAGGCAGUAGUUAUUUGCAUAUUUUCAGCUUCCUCAAGUAACAUGAUCACAAAAGAACAUUUUUACGAACCUGGCUCUCAUCUGCACUUUUGUGUGCUUCAAGCAUUUCUGUAAUAAUUACACAUACCUGCAUAACCCUCAUUUGCAAGGAGGACAUUUCUGCCAUACUGGGAUUGGCAAUAUGAAGACUGGUUUGAUUAAGCUGUGCUAAGCAAACACUGAAUGCGCCAUUUUCAGGAUUGGUCCACAGAGCUUCACUGCAAGGAAAUGCUGUACGAAUAAAUAUCAUUACAGAAAGGGAAAACCUAAAGGUGAAGGGAGUUUUUUUGAUCCAAAAAAGGCAUGCUGGAAUAAAACGGAAAGCUUUGUUAGCAUCAAGCCUGCACAGACUUAGAAACAAAAGGGCCCAAGACAAGACUUUCGGACAAAGAGGGGAAGAAAGAGGAAACUCCUAGUGUUAAUUUCAAGGAAACGCUGAAAUCCAGAAAAGAACUGAGAGAAGAGAGUUAGAAGGAAAAAGAAAGAUUUUCUUUCGAGUAUGUGCCGGCCUGGUCCCCUGUGAAUCAGAGCAUCCUGAGAACCACUCCAUUUUCUAAGAGACUGUCUGUGCUUCCGAGGCAUCAUUUUGGCAGCAGCUGAUGAUGGCGAUGCUGCAGCCAUCCCCGCUUGUCCCUGGCUGUGGUGGUGGUGCUGCAGACAAUAAAGCGACUCUGCGCUACUUACGCAUUAGGCAGGAAAGUCAACUGAGAGCUAUUUUAGUUGGGUUACAGCUGUCCUACACUUCCAGCAUGGCACAAAGCAUCUAUAAAGCAACAUUCGGGGCAUGGGGUGGGGGGAUUGUGACUGUCCUUUUGUAUGCUGUUCUAAGCUGUUAAGUAAUGCUUCUGUUAAUAUUUGUCAUCACCAACCUGACUAGCUUCACACUGAAAAUCAGGAGAUAAAUGAUACAACUAUGAUUCCUAAUCCCUGAGACAAUUCUGCUCUCGACUCUCAAAAAUACUGUGGGUUGGUAUGUUGGGCCUUUGGCAAGAGAUUCUUCAGAAUUCUAUUGCACUUCUUCAUUUAAUUUGGACAAAAAAAUAACCCAUCAGUGAAGAGUCCAUUGUGUUUAUUCUUAAGAUAUGAAGUGACUAUUAGUAGCCGUCAGAGAGUGUAGAUGACACUGUCCUGUACAGCUGCAUUGUGGAUAUCCCUCCUCUAAAAUAAAUCUAAAUAAACAGAUAAAGCAGCAACCCCCAAUCUUACUCUGAGGUCAUGCAUUGAGUGAAUAAUCUACUCUUGCUAGACAGUGGAAGCCUCUGUAGACUGAGAAAAGGUGUCAUUAGCUGAUUUUCAUGCCAGGACCAAAACCAAAUAAAGCCAGAGCUGAAAACAAACAAAAAUAUAUUAGGCUGACAAAAAAGUCUCCAGUGGGAAAUGGAAGACAACUAGAAACAAUGGUAAUAACAUUUUCAUGUGCUUUCAUUACAUGAGCAAUUUGGGGAUGUGCUGAACAAUUCAGAAAUAUUUCAAAUUGCUGGGUAUAUGCCAUAAUUGCUGGUUUACAAAUAUGUCAGAUAUUUUACCAUGCAGGCUCCUUUUAUUCACUACAAACAAUUC
Phalacrocorax carbo (great cormorant) is the source of this 1625-nucleotide non-coding RNA. NCBI's taxonomy places the organism in Eukaryota, Metazoa, Chordata, Aves, Suliformes, Phalacrocoracidae. The record is from RefSeq and is a predicted model, not a curated record.